RNAcentral lists this ribosomal RNA (490 nucleotides) under uncultured bacterium. Its description in RNAcentral is "partial 16S ribosomal RNA". It matches the Rfam family "Bacterial small subunit ribosomal RNA", at positions 30 to 507 of the family's 1533-position model. The record is from RNAcentral.
AUUGAACGCUGGCGGCAGGCCUAACACAUGCAAGUCGAAUGGUAACAGGAAACAGCUUGCUGUUUCGCUGACGAGUGGCGGACGGGUGAGUAAUGUCUGGGAAACUGCCUGAUGGAGGGGGAUAACUACUGGAAACGGUAGCUAAUACCGCAUAACGUCGCAAGACCAAAGAGGGGGACCUUCGGGCCUCUUGCCAUUAGAUGUGCCCAGAUGGGAUUAGCUAGUAGGUGGGGUAACGGCUCACCUAGGCGACGAUCCCUAGCUGGUCUGAGAGGAUGACCAGCCACACUGGAACUGAGACACGGUCCAGACUCCUACGGGAGGCAGCAGUGGGGAAUAUUGCACAAUGGGCGCAAGCCUGAUGCAGCCAUGCCGCGUGUAUGAAGAAGGCCUUCGGGUUGUAAAGUACUUUCAGCGGGGAGGAAGGGAGUAAAGUUAAUACCUUUACUCAUUGACGUUACCCGCAGAAGAAGCACCGGCUAACUCCGUG